GAUGAACGCUAGCGGCAGGCCUAAUACAUGCAAGUCGGACGGGAUCCAUCGGUAUCUUGCUGUCCAUGGUGAGAGUGGCGCGCGGGUUCGUAACGCGUGAGCAACCUGCCUCCGUCAGGGGGAUGGCCUCGCGAAAGAGAAAUUAACACCUCAUAACAUAUCAGACCGGCAUCGGUCGGAUAUCACAUAUUUAUAGGAUGGAGGUGGGCUCGCGUGACAUUAUCUGGUUGGUGGGGUAACGGCCGACCAAGGGGACGAUGUCUAGGGGCUCUGAGAGUAGAACCCACCACACUGGUACUGAGGCACGGACUAGACUCCUACGGGACGCAGCAGUAAGGAAUAUUGGGCAAGGGGCGGAAGCCUGAACCAGCCAUGCCGCGUGCAGGAGGACUGCCCUAUGGGUUGUAAACUGCUUUUGUCCGGGAAUAAUCCUCCUUACGUGUAGGGAGCUGAAUGUACCGGAAGAAUAAGGACCGGCUAACUCCGUG
RNAcentral lists this ribosomal RNA (488 nucleotides) under uncultured bacterium. RNAcentral's name for it is "partial 16S ribosomal RNA". It matches the Rfam family "Bacterial small subunit ribosomal RNA", at positions 28 to 507 of the family's 1533-position model. The record is from RNAcentral.